RNAcentral lists this long non-coding RNA (307 nucleotides) under Panax ginseng (ginseng). RNAcentral describes it as "long non-coding RNA (PGIN_LNC005622)". Lineage: Eukaryota; Viridiplantae; Streptophyta; Magnoliopsida; Apiales; Araliaceae. The record is from RNAcentral.
AAAUUGAUCUGGACUUAAAUAUUUUGAUUGUGAUAAGUGUUUAUUUGUGAUUCAAUGGUUGUGGAACAUGUGUGAUAAUGUGAUUAGGUUAUGUGCUGACUGCAAAAUGCAGUACAAUGUGUUAUAGUAUAUUGUUCUAAUCAAACGAAUGAUUUGAUUAAUGAUAGGUCGUGAUAUAAAAGGUAGAACUAAGUUGCAUUUUGUAAACAGCAGAUCAGGCAAGUAUCGUACCUUUGCAUUUCCUUUAUGCAAUGGAUAUAAGUAAGAAGGUUUCAGAAAUAUAUUAUUAUUAUGCUAUAUUAAUAAC